AUGGCUGGGGGUCCCAGCCCCCGAGGCUGGUCUUGCUCUGACAUGGUUGCCAUACCUGAGAGAGGAAAGUGACUCAAGUUCUGGGCCUACGAUGCCUGCUCCAGACUAGUGACUGUGGCAGAUUAUGCCAGCCCAGAUCUGGCAAUCAUGAGGUCUGGAUGAGUCAAGAAGGAAGUCACUAAUGCUAUUUAGCAGGAAGUAAAACCUAUUUGUGGCUUAAAAGCCUUCCAGAUUCCUUUAGAGGAAGCUUUUUUUUUUUUUUUCUGGGACAGGUGAACACUGUGACAUCAUCAACAGCAGUGAUGAGAUGGAUCCAGCUUAGGAGGAAAACAUCCAUGAGAGAACUUGUCUCUAGAAAAAAGAAAAGAAAAAGGAAACAGGAGACCUAGACGGGGCUGGAACAACAUAGUGUCCCAUGGAUAUUUUACUAUUUCCCGCCUCCUACGUCUGUCCUGAGGAUAUUGUGAAAUUUUUCUUCAUUUGUAAAAAUGCCUGGACUGUCACUUGUACUGCUGCCUUUUGGAUCAGGUUAUAUCAAAAGCAUUACAUGCUGAAUGCUUUUCAGCCUUUGCACCUGUGACCACAGUCAAUGGGGAAGCUGCAGUCUCUGGGCAUAUGUGAUCCAGUCUCUGUACUGUAUAAGUGAUUUGUGGCUCAACUCUCCAAGAAUCCAGCCAUUGCAGAAGCCACUCCCAGCACAUUAAAGAAUUCCAAAUGCUUACUUUUCUGGUGCAGAAUGGGCCCAGAGAAGAACCGAUGUGGGAAAUCAACUUCAAGUUCAAAAAACAGGCCCCUACGUUAAAGAGCAAUGUACGGGAGGAUUGCAGUCUCUCUUUCAGUAUGAAGAUGUUCACACCAACUCAGUCCAGGUGUGCUGCCUAUUGUAGGUCACCACCCUCAAUUUCAUCUUU
RNAcentral lists this long non-coding RNA (911 nucleotides) under Homo sapiens (human). RNAcentral describes it as "non-protein coding lnc-VGLL3-10:1". The record is from RNAcentral. Lineage: Eukaryota; Metazoa; Chordata; Mammalia; Primates; Hominidae.